GAUGAACGCUGGCGGCGUGCCUAAUACAUGCAAGUCGAGCGAACGGACGAGAAGCUUGCUUCUCUGAUGUUAGCGGCGGACGGGUGAGUAACACGUGGAUAACCUACCUAUAAGACUGGGAUAACUUCGGGAAACCGGAGCUAAUACCGGAUAAUAUUUUGAACCGCAUGGUUCAAAAGUGAAAGACGGUCUUGCUGUCACUUAUAGAUGGAUCCGCGCUGCAUUAGCUAGUUGGUAAGGUAACGGCUUACCAAGGCAACGAUGCAUAGCCGACCUGAGAGGGUGAUCGGCCACACUGGAACUGAGACACGGUCCAGACUCCUACGGGAGGCAGCAGUAGGGAAUCUUCCGCAAUGGGCGAAAGCCUGACGGAGCAACGCCGCGUGAGUGAUGAAGGUCUUCGGAUCGUAAAACUCUGUUAUUAGGGAAGAACAUAUGUGUAAGUAACUGUGCACAUCUUGACGGUACCUAAUCAGAAAGCCACGGCUAACUACGUGCCAGCAGCCGCGGUAAUACGUAGGUGGCAAGCGUUAUCCGGAAUUAUUGGGCGUAAAGCGCGCGUAGGCGGUUUUUUAAGUCUGAUGUGAAAGCCCACGCCUCAACCGGGGAGGGUCCUUGGAAACUGGAAAACUUGAGUGCAGAAGAAGGAAAGUGGAAUUCCCUGUGUAGCGGCGAAAUGCCCCGAGAUAUGGAGGAACACCCCCGGCGAAGGCGACUUUCUGGUCUGUAACUGACGCUGAUGUGCGAAAGCGUGGGGAUCAAACACGAUUAGAUACCCUGUAGGUCCCCCCCGUAAACGAUGAGUGCUAAGUGUUAGGGGGUUUCCCCCCCUUAGUGCUGCAGCUAACGCAUUUAAGCACUCCGCCUGGGGAGUACGACCGCAAGGUUGAAACUCAAAGGAAUUGACGGGGACCCGCACAAGCGGUGGAGCAUGUGGUUUAAUUCGAAGCAACGCGAAGAACCUUACCAAAUCUUGACAUCCUUUGACAACUCUAGAGAUAGAGCCUUCCCCUUCGGGGGACAAAGUGACAGGUGGUGCAUGGUUGUCGUCAGCUCGUGUCGUGAGAUGUUGGGUUAAGUCCCGCAACGAGCGCAACCCUUAAGCUUAGUUGCCAUCAUUAGGUUGGGCACUCUAAGUUGACUGCCGGUGACAAACCGGAGGGAGGUGGGGAUGACGUCAAAUCAUCAUGCCCCUUAUGAUUUGGGCUACACACGUGCUACAAUGGACAAUACAAAGGGCAGCGAAACCGCGAGGUCAAGCAAAUCCCAUAAAGUUGUUCUCAGUUCGGAUUGUAGUCUGCAACUCGACUACAUGAAGCUGGAAUCGCUAGUAAUCAUAGAUCAGCAUGCUACGGUGAAUACGUUCCCGGGUCU
RNAcentral lists this ribosomal RNA (1374 nucleotides) under uncultured bacterium. RNAcentral describes it as "bacterial SSU rRNA". It matches the Rfam family "Bacterial small subunit ribosomal RNA", at positions 28 to 1381 of the family's 1533-position model. The record is from RNAcentral.